UGCAAGUUGAGCGAAGCUUUUUGGUAGUUUACUACUAGAAAUGACUGAGCGGCGAACGGGUGAGUAACGCGUGAGCAAUCUACCUUAGUUACUGGGAUAGCCCGAGGAAACUCGGAUUAAUACCGGAUAUUCUUAUUUUUUCACAUGAAGUUUUAAGGAAAGGUCAGCCGAACUAAGAUGAGCUCGCGUUCUAUCAGCUAGUUGGUGGGGUAAAAGCCUACCAAGGCUACGACGGAUAGCUGGUCUGAGAGGACGAUCAGCCACACUGGGACUGAGACACGGCCCAGACUCCUACGGGAGGCUGCAGCAGGGAAUAUUGUGCAAUGAGCGAAAGCUUGACACAGCGACACCGCGUGUGGGAUGACGGUUCUAGGAUUGUAAACCACUUUCAGGAGGGAAGAAAAUGACGGUACCUCCACAAGAAGACCCGGCCAACUAUGUGCCAGCAGCCGCGGUAAUACAUAGGGGUCAAGCGUUGUCCGGAUUUAUUGGGCGUAAAGAGCUCGUAGGCGGUUCAACAAGUCGGUCGUAAAAGUUAGGGGCUCAACCCUAAAAUG
This 557-nucleotide ribosomal RNA is filed under the name uncultured marine bacterium. Its description in RNAcentral is "bacterial SSU rRNA". It matches the Rfam family "Bacterial small subunit ribosomal RNA", at positions 56 to 623 of the family's 1533-position model. The record is from RNAcentral.